GUGUACGGGACGCUCCUUCAACAACAACAGCUCGCCAGACACCUCGGUAGCUUUCUAGCAAACAUAGCUACAACAUUCACGCUCUUUACACUGUUUUGGUGUAUAUUAGUCGCUGUGUAUUAAACACACUUCUGUCGUAUGUACGUGUUGGCCCAUUUAAUUAUAUAUGUACGUUGUUUGUCAGCUAGCUUGUUUGCUAAGUUAGCUUAGCACUAGGCUAGUCGCUAGGCUAGGAAGACUCGUUCAGAGUGAAAGAGGAGAUGACUGUCAAAUUGGAGGAAGAAGAGGAGGUUGGAGAUCUGUUUAACACCAGAGAGGGACCAGACUCUCACUCUGACAGCGGGGAGACUCCUUCAGGGGAACCAGACCCAGAGACGCCCAAACCAGCAAGACAACACCUCUGUUCCCAGUGUGGAAAGAGUUUUAAGGGGUUAAGGAACCUGGAAGUACAUGAGAGAAUGCACACAGGAGAAAACCCUUACGAUUGCUCCCACUGUUGAAAGAGUUUUACCAAGUUAGGGAACCUAAAAGAGCAUGAGAGGACAAACACAAGAGAAAAGCGUUUCCAAUGUUCCCAGUGUGGAAAGAGGUUUACCCAGUUACGGUACCUGAAACAACAUGAAGAAAUACACACAGAAGAUAGGAAGACCUACCACUGCUCUCAGUGUGGAAAGAUAUUUAUUGGGGUAGGGUACCUGAAAAUACAUAUGAGAAUACACUCCGGAGAGAAGCCUUACCACUGUUCCCACUGUGUAAAGAGUUUUACACAGUUAGGGAGCCUGAAAACACAUGAGAGGGACACACUGAAGAGCAGCCUUAUCACUGUUCCCACUGUGAAAGGAAUAUUAGGUGGUAUGCGAACCUGAAGGAGCAUGAGAGAAUACACACAGGAGAAAAGCCGUACCACUGUUCCAAUUGUGAAGAGUUUUACCCAUCAAGGGAGCCUGAAAGCACAUGAGAGAAUACACUCAGGAGAAAAACCUUACCAAUGUUCCCGGUGUGAAAAGAGUUUUACUCGUUUAGGGAGCUUGAAAAGGCAUGAGAGAAUACACACGGGAGAAAAGCUUUUCCACUGCUCUCAUUGUGAAAAGACAUUUUCCCAGUCAGAGGACCUGAAAUCACACGAGAGAAUAGUGAGGCUGUGUUCUGACUUAUGUUUUUGAUUGUGAAAUUGUGUUUUUUGUUCAUGCUACAUUAAAUCAUAUUGUAUGAAUUAAAUAAUACUGAAAAAUAGGUCCUUUUUUUUGUUCAGCUCAAGACAUGAUCAUGUCGAAAAUCAGAUUAAAAUAGUUUUUAAAAUAUAUGAUGUUUUGAUUAUGAAUUUAAGAUUGAUUGAAUGCAAGUGUAAACCCCUACAUGUUGUUCACUAUAUAAUUGUGAUAUUUCAAACAUGUUCAUUAUUAAAUAGAUUGACAUUAGUAUUUCUUCAUUCAGAUUGUCAUUGUAAAUGUAAAUUGGUUCUCAGUUGACAUAUCUGAUUAAAUAAAGGUGAAAUAAAGUAAAUGCCAUA
Oncorhynchus tshawytscha (Chinook salmon) is the source of this 1510-nucleotide long non-coding RNA. RefSeq lists it as uncharacterized. The transcript has 2 exons. The record is from RefSeq and is a predicted model, not a curated record. NCBI's taxonomy places the organism in Eukaryota, Metazoa, Chordata, Actinopteri, Salmoniformes, Salmonidae.